AUUGAACGCUGGCGGCAGGCUUAACACAUGCAAGUCGAGCGGAGAGAGGUAGCUUGCUACUGAUCUUAGCGGCGGACGGGUGAGUAAUACUUAGGAAUCUGGCUAUUAGUGGGGGACAACAUUUCGAAAGGGAUGCUAAUACCGCAUACGUCCUACGGGAGAAAGCAGGGGAUCUUCGGACCUUGCGCUAAUAGAUGAGCCUAAGUCGGAUUAGCUAGUUGGUGGGGUAAAGGCCUACCAAGGCGACGAUCUGUAGCGGGUCUGAGAGGAUGAUCCGCCACACUGGGACUGAGACACGGCCCAGACUCCUACGGGAGGCAGCAGUGGGGAAUAUUGGACAAUGGGGGGAACCCUGAUCCAGCCAUGCCGUGUGUGUGAAGAAGGCCUUAUGGUUGUAAAGCACUUUAAGCGAGGAGGAGGGUGCUGGUAUUAAUACUACCAGGUACUGGACGUUACUCGCAGAAUAAGCACCGGCUAACUCUGUG
RNAcentral lists this ribosomal RNA (485 nucleotides) under uncultured bacterium. RNAcentral describes it as "partial 16S ribosomal RNA". It matches the Rfam family "Bacterial small subunit ribosomal RNA", at positions 30 to 507 of the family's 1533-position model. The record is from RNAcentral.